AGAAUUUUAAGAAAUGUAUUUCUAAUGGUGGAAUAUCUAUUUAAUGAGACUACACAGAAUUUCAAACAUGCAUUAGUUAUUUUUCAACACCACUUUAUCAACUAUCAGAAUUUUUUUUCUUCUACAGAAUUCUUUAGUAAAUUAAAACACGAGACUGAGUAAUACUUUUCCUGCUCAACACUUAUUGUGACCGGUGUAACUGGAUACUCCUACCGGACUUAGUGGCCUACCUGUAAGUACAGAUCGAAGGGUCUAACACACCGUAAGUGCGCGAGACUCGCAGAGCACCGAAUCUAAAGCGGAGCCCCAGCUAGCCUUGGCCAAUGUUAGAAAAUUAUCUCAAAAAGGAAACUCAAGGUUUUGUUUGUAAUAAGUCACGAUUUUGUAAUAUAUCAUAAAAUCAAGUAUCCAUAUAGGUAGAAGUGUUAAUGUUUUUGAUGUAUAAUACAAGUACUAUUCUGAAGGACAUAUCAAGGAAAGAUAGAAUGCAAAAUGCAUAAAUAGUAAAUGGAAAUCAUUAUCUAAACCUAAUUUCCAAUUUUCUUUGACCUAUUCUGGAUGACAUGGACACUGAAGAAAUGUGUUUCCAGCAAGACAGUGCUACUUGUCAUUGUGUGUCGAGCGAGUAGAGGAGGUUACAUGUAUGAUAUUAUAUUUCACUCUCAUACCACAAUUAGUAAUGAAACAAUCUAUAUCAUUAAUAAUGUAUUUCUUAUAAAAUAAAACUGAUUUACAGCUGAUUAAGCUGAUUUACAAAAA
This is a long non-coding RNA of Daktulosphaira vitifoliae (grape phylloxera), 759 nucleotides long. RefSeq lists it as uncharacterized. NCBI's taxonomy places the organism in Eukaryota, Metazoa, Arthropoda, Insecta, Hemiptera, Phylloxeridae. The record is from RefSeq and is a predicted model, not a curated record. The transcript has 4 exons.